CAAGUAUGUUUGACCUUAGUUUCAUUCGCUUGAUACAUAACUGAUCUCACACAACAAUUUCACUUUUCUCCCUAAAAUUUCUCUCAAAUUUCAACCUCUGGCCGUCAUGCAUGAAUCACGAUUUGGUACUUUUAUUGAUUACAAAGGUUUUCCCCAUUUUGCUCCUUUCUCACUCAAAUCUUCGUGGAUUAAAGCUUCUAUACCUAUGAUGAUCGACCCGGCCUUUAUAUACUCCAAGGCUUGUGAUGUAGCCGUUGCUAGGGUUUUAUCCGUUGGAGUGGCAAUCUUGUAAAAUCAGACUGCACGGCUGCACGAUGUAGGUGGUGGACAGACUGAGACUUGUACGAUAUUGUACUAUGAUAGCGACCUGUCCUUUCACCAGUUGACUUGAGAUCUGAAUGCUUCAGAUGAGCGUUGGUGAAGCUUCUGAACCUCGUCAGAUUUAAGCUAGGAUUCUUCUGACCUUGCAACUUCUGCUUCUGAACAAGUUCCUCAGAACUUCUGAACGUCAGAGCUAGAAUAGCUUGGGUCUUCAGAACCAACUUCUUGCCAGUCUUCAGAACUUGAGUCUUCUGCUUCUGGACCGUUCCACUGGAACAUCUGGUCUUCAGAACUUCUGACUCUGGUUCUUCAGAUCCUCUUGAGAGCUUGUAUCUUCAGAACUUCUGAAGGAUUUGCCACUGUUCUGAACAAACAUGGAUACAUGGAGGAUUAAAGUAAGGGUUAUUCGUGUAUGGGAGAUGUGUCCAAUUUCUCAACCAUCAAAACCAUAUGCUAUGAGUUUGGUCUUGGUUGAUGUUGAUGGUAUGAGGAUUGAAGCAGUCAUAAGUAAAGACAUGAUCCAGAAAUUCAAGAGGUUGAUUGUUGAGGGACAAGUCUACAAAAUAGUAUACUUCAAUGUUGUUGAAAAUGAUGGAGCCUAUCGUGCAUCCCCACGUGAGUUCAAGAUAUUGUUUAAUGGUACGACCAAGGCGGAAAGACGGAACCUGACCAAUCUGAUAUUAUACCAUUGAACUGCUUCUAUUUCAAGAACUCUGAAGAAAUCUCUACUACCCUUGAUGAAUCAGAUGUUUUGGUUGAUAUGAUUGGGUUGGUUACUGCUGUAUCUGCUAAAAAGCAAUAUGUCAAGGGCGGUAAUGUUAGUAAGGUUAUUGUGCUAGAGCUCACUGAUGAUAGGGGAAAAGUCCAGGGUUCAUUCUUUGGGCAGUAUGUGGAUAUUGUAAGGCAGUUUGCAACUGUUGGAGGUCAUGAUUUGCAUGUAGCAAUUGUUCAGUUUGCUAAGGUGAAGACGUUUUAGGGUAAUUAUCUAGAUUUUUUUGUGCAAACUUUAUGAGAUCUGAUUAUUAAUUUAGAAGUUGGAGUGAUGUUGUAAUAUGUUUUUAGUUUAAUAUACAAAUGGUUUAUGUAACAAGCACCUACUUUUAUAAUUUGUCAAGCUUUUUUGAUAUUGUCUUAUGUUGUGUCUUUUGGUCUAGGAGAUGUUGUUAUACAAAAUGUUAUGAAUUCUACCAAGGUUAUGUGGAAUCCUAAUGUGCCUGAGGCUAAUCCAUUUCAUGAUGGGUAGUUUGUUGCAUAAAUUUAUUUUUUGGUUAAUGGUUUCAAUGCCAACUUGUAAUAUUUAAAUGAUUUGAAUAGCCCUUUACAAUUUUGUAUUUGUGCGCAAUUUACAACAUUGUAUGAAGCUUGGCAUUGCAUGGUGUUGAUGCUGACCUUCCUAUUGGAGAAAUUGAUGAUGGGGUUCGUCGACUUCCAACUGAUCAGGACUUUGUUUCUCUCUUCCCUAGGAAGAAUAUUAAUGAACUGCAUACUACUGGAGAGGAAGGAUGGUUCACAGUCAUGGCAGAAAUUGUUGGCUUACCUGAUGGAGAGAAGUGGUGGUAUACUUCUUGCCAUUGCCAUAGGUCUGUUACAGCUGGGGAUGGAUUAUAUUUUUAGUCUUCUUGUUGUGUCCAUGUCUUAGAGGUUACCCUAAGGGUUAAAUUUGAAGUCUCUGAUGGUGAAGACCUUGCUACAUUUGUGUCGUUUGAAGCUGAUUGCCAAAAUUUAAUUAACAAGACUGCAAAGAAUUAGUUGUUAGCUCC
Molecule: long non-coding RNA, 2081 nt
Organism: Lotus japonicus
Lineage: Eukaryota; Viridiplantae; Streptophyta; Magnoliopsida; Fabales; Fabaceae
Exons: 8
Source: RefSeq, a predicted model, not a curated record